AUACAGAGGGUGCAAGCGUUAAUCGGAUUUACUGGGCGUAAAGCGCGCGUAGGUGGCUAAUUAAGUCAAAUGUGAAAUCCCCGAGCUUAACUUGGGAAUUGCAUUCAAUACUGGUUAGCUAGAGUAUGGGAGAGGAUGGUAGAGUUCCAGGUGUAGCGGUGAAAUGCGCAGAGAUCUGGAGGAAUACCGAUGGCGAAGGCAGCCAUCUGGCCUAAUACUGACACUGAGGUGCGAAAGCAUGGGGAGCAAACAGGAUUAGAUACCCUGGUAGUCCAUGCCGUAAACGAUGUCUACUAGCCGUUGGGGCCCUUGAGGCUUUAGUGGCGCAGCUAACGCGAUAAGUAGACCGCCUGGGGAGUACGGUCGCAAGACUAAAACUCAAAUGAAUUGACGGGG
This 396-nucleotide ribosomal RNA is filed under the name uncultured bacterium. RNAcentral describes it as "partial 16S ribosomal RNA". It matches the Rfam family "Bacterial small subunit ribosomal RNA", at positions 523 to 918 of the family's 1533-position model. The record is from RNAcentral.